UACGUAGGGGGCAAGCGUUGUCGGGAAUUAUUGGGCGUAAAGCGCGCGCAGGCGGUCUCUUAAGUCUGAUGUGAAAGCACACGGCUCAACCGUGGAGGGUCAUUGGAAACUGGGAGACUGGAGUAUAGGAGAGGAAAGUGGAAUUCCACGUGUAGCGGUGAAAUGCGUAGAGAUGUGGAGGAACACCAGUGGCGAAUGCGACUUUCUGGCCUAUUACUGACGCUGAGGCGCGAAAGCGUGGGGGGCGAACAGG
Molecule: ribosomal RNA, 253 nt
Filed under: uncultured bacterium
Lineage: Bacteria
Description: partial 16S ribosomal RNA
Rfam family: Bacterial small subunit ribosomal RNA
Source: RNAcentral